CACCAUUGCUUGGUAAACGAAGGU
RNAcentral lists this non-coding RNA (24 nucleotides) under Arabidopsis thaliana (thale cress). Lineage: Eukaryota; Viridiplantae; Streptophyta; Magnoliopsida; Brassicales; Brassicaceae. The record is from RNAcentral.